Molecule: ribosomal RNA, 496 nt
Filed under: uncultured bacterium
Lineage: Bacteria
Description: bacterial SSU rRNA
Rfam family: Bacterial small subunit ribosomal RNA
Source: RNAcentral
GAGUUUGAUCCUGGCUCAGAACGAACGCUGGCGGCGUGGAUAAGACAUGCAAGUCGAACGGGAGAAUUGCUAGCUUGCUAAUAAUUCUCUAGUGGCGCACGGGUGAGUAACACGUGAGUAACCUGCCUCUUAGUGGGGGAUAGCCCUGGGAAACCGGGAUUAAUACCGCAUACGAUUGAAAGAUCAAAGCAGCAAUGCGCUAGGAGAUGGGCUCGCGGCCUAUUAGUUAGUUGGUGAGGUAACGGCUCACCAAGGCGAUGACGGGUAGCCGGUCUGAGAGGAUGUCCGGCCACACUGGAACUGAGACACGGUCCAGACACCUACGGGUGGCAGCAGUCGAGAAUCAUUCACAAUGGGGGCAACCCUGAUGGUGCGACGCCGCGUGGGGGAAUGAAGGUCUUCGGAUUGUAAACCCCUGUCAUGUGGGAGCAAAUUAAAAAGAUAGUACCACAAGAGGAAGAGACGGCUAACUCUGUGCCAGCCGCCGCGGUAAUUC